CACGUAGGGGGCAAGCGUUGUCCGGAUUUAUUGGGCGUAAAGAGCUCGUAGGCGGUUCGGUAAGUCGGGUGUGAAACCUCCAGGCUCAACCUGGAGAGGCCACCUGAUACUGCUGUGACUCGAGUCCGGUAGGGGAGCGUGGAAUUCCUGGUGUAGCGGUGAAAUGCGCAGAUAUCAGGAGGAACACCAGCGGCGAAGGCGGCGCUCUGGGCCGGAACUGACGCUGAGGAGCGAAAGCGUGGGUAGCAAACGGG
This 254-nucleotide ribosomal RNA is filed under the name uncultured bacterium. RNAcentral's name for it is "partial 16S ribosomal RNA". It matches the Rfam family "Bacterial small subunit ribosomal RNA", at positions 524 to 776 of the family's 1533-position model. The record is from RNAcentral.